CCUACGGGAGGCUGCAGUGGGGAAUAUUGCACAAUGGGCGCAAGCCUGAUGCAGCCAUGCCGCGUGUGUGAAGAAGGCCUUCGGGUUGUAAAGCACUUUCAGCGGGGAGGAAGGCGGUGAGGUUAAUAACCUCAUCGAUUGACGUUACCCGCAGAAGAAGCACCGGCUAACUCCGUGCCAGCAGCCGCGGUAAUACGGAGGGUGCAAGCGUUAAUCGGAAUUACUGGGCGUAAAGCGCACGCAGGCGGUCUGUCAAGUCGGAUGUGAAAUCCCCGGGCUCAACCUGGGAACUGCAUUCGAAACUGGCAGGCUAGAGUCUUGUAGAGGGGGGUAGAAUUCCAGGUGUAGCGGUGAAACGCGUAGAGAUCUGGAGGAAUACCGGUGGCGAAGGCGGCCCCCUGGACAAAGACUGACGCUCAGGUGCGAAAGCGUGGGGAGCAAACAGGAUUAGAUACCCUAGUAGUC
Molecule: ribosomal RNA, 465 nt
Filed under: uncultured Klebsiella sp.
Lineage: Bacteria; Pseudomonadati; Pseudomonadota; Gammaproteobacteria; Enterobacterales; Enterobacteriaceae
Description: bacterial SSU rRNA
Rfam family: Bacterial small subunit ribosomal RNA
Source: RNAcentral